This 70-nucleotide transfer RNA is filed under the name Procetichthys kreffti. RNAcentral describes it as "tRNA-Pro". It matches the Rfam family "tRNA". Rfam says of the family: Transfer RNA (tRNA) molecules are approximately 80 nucleotides in length. Their secondary structure includes four short double-helical elements and three loops (D, anti-codon, and T loops). The record is from RNAcentral. Lineage: Eukaryota; Metazoa; Chordata; Actinopteri; Beryciformes; Cetomimidae.
CAGAGAGUAGUUUAAUUUAGAAUUCUAGCUUUGGGAGUUAGGGGUGGGAGUUAAAAUCUCCUCUUUUUGA